Molecule: ribosomal RNA, 1519 nt
Filed under: Candidatus Endomicrobium sp. MdMp-027
Lineage: Bacteria; Pseudomonadati; Elusimicrobiota; Endomicrobiia; Endomicrobiales; Endomicrobiaceae
Description: bacterial SSU rRNA
Rfam family: Bacterial small subunit ribosomal RNA
Source: RNAcentral
UUUAUGGAGAGUUUGAUCUUGGCUCAGAGUGAACGCUGGCGGCGUGCCUAACACAUGCAAGUCGAGCGAGAUUCUACAGAGUAUCGUAGAGUUUAGCGGCAAACGGGUGAGUAACACGUAGGAAAUCUUCCUUAAAAUGGGGAAUAUCUUCGAGAAAUCGGAGUUAAUGCCGCAUAAGACCACAGUUUGGCAUCAAACAGAGGUUAAAGCAGCAAUGCGUUUUGAGAUGAUCCUGCGGCCUAUCAGUUAGUUGGUAGGGUAACGGCCUACCAAGACUAUAACGGGUAUCCGACCUGAAAGGGCGAACGGACACACUGGAACUGAGACACGGUCCAGACUCCUACGGGAGGCAGCAGUGGGGAAUUUUGGACAAUGGGGGAAACCCUGAUCCAGCGACGCCGCGUGGAGGACGAAGGCUUUCGAGUUGUAAACUCCUUUUAGAGGGAAAGAAAAAAAUGACGGUACCCUCAGAAAAAGCCACGGCUAACUACGUGCCAGCAGCCGCGGUAAUACGUAGGUGGCGAGCGUUACUCGGAAUUACUAGGCGUAAAGCGUAUGUAGGCGGUUAGAUAAGUCUUUAGUGAAAUUUCUUGGCUCAACUGAGAAUAGUCUAAGGAUACUGUUUAACUUGAGUUUGGGAGAGGGAGACGGAAUUCCUGGUGUAGCGGUGAAAUGCUUAGAUAUCAGGAGGAACACCAAUGGCGAAAGCAGUCUCCUGGCCUAACACUGACGUUAAUGUACGAAAGCUAGGGUAGCAAACAGGAUUAGAUACCCUGGUAGUCCUAGCUGUAAACGAUGUUCACUAGAUGUGGGAGGUAUUGACCCCUUCUGUGUCGACGCUAACGCAUUAAGUGAACCGCCUGGGGAGUACGACCGCAAGGUUGAAACUCAAAAGAAUUGACGGGGGUCCGCACAAGCGGUGGAAUAUGUGGUUUAAUUCGACGCACCACGAAAAACCUUACCUGGGCUUGAACUGCUAAUAGUAAGAGCCGGAAACGGCGAUGAUCCGCAAGGAAGUUAGUAGAGGUGCUGCAUGGCUGUCGUCAGCUCGUGUCGUGAGAUGUUGGGUUAAGUCCCGCAACGAGCGCAACCCUUAUCCCAUGUUACCUGUAGAAAUACAGGGUCUCUGAGGAAACUGCCAUUGAUAAAAUGGAGGAAGGUGGGGACGAAGUCAAGUCAUCAUGGUCUUUAUGUCCAGGGCUACACACGUAUUACAAUGGACGGUACAGAGGGUGGCAAUACCGUAAGGUGGAGCAAAUCCCUAAAGCCGUCCUCAGUUCGGAUUGUGGGCUGCAAUUCGUCCACAUGAAGUAGGAAUCGCUAGUAAUCGCAGAUCAGCAGGCUGCGGUGAAUACGUUCCCGGGCCUUGUACACACCGCCCGUCGCACCACGAAAGUCAGUUAUAACAGAAGUCGUUGAGCUAACCGCAAGGAGGCAGACGCCUAAGUUAUGAUUGGUGAUUGGGGUUAAGUCGUAACAAGGUAGCCGUACGAGAACGUGCGGCUGGAUCACCUCCUUU